UCUUUGGCCGUCCGAGUUGUAAUCUAGAGAAGUAAUGCCCGUGCUGGACCGUGUAUAAGUCUCCUGGGAUGGGGCGUCAUAGAGGGUGAGAAUCCCGUCUUUGACACGGACUACCAGUGCAUUGUGGUAUGCUCUCAAAGAGUCGAGUUGUUUGGGAAUGCAGCUCAAAAUGGGUGGUAAAUUCCAUCUAAAGCUAAAUAUUGGCGAGAGACCGAUAGCGAACAAGUACCGUGAGGGAAAGAUGAAAAGAACUUUGGAAAGAGAGUUAAACAGUACGUGAAAUUGCUGAAAGGGAAACGCUUGAAGUCAGUCGCGUUGGCCAGGGAUCAGCCUUGCUUUUGCAUGGUGUACUUUCUGGUUGACGGGUCAGCAUCAAUUUUGACCGCUGGAAAAGGGCCUGGGGAAUGUGGCAGCUUCGGCUGUGUUAUAGCCCCUGGUCGCAUACAGUGGUUGGGAUUGAGGAACUCAGCACGCCGCAAGGCCGGGUUUCGACCACGUUCGUGCUUAGGAUGCUGGCAUAAUGGCUUUAAGCGACCCGUCUUGAAACACGGACCAAGGAGUCUAACAUGCCUGCGAGUAUUUGGGUGGAAAACCCGAGUGCGCAAUGAAAGUGAAAGUUGAGAUCCCUGUCGUGGGGAGCAUCGACGCCCGGACCAGAACUUUUGGGACGGAUCCGCGGUGGAGCAUGUAUGUUGGGACCCGAAAGAUGGUGAACUAUGCCUGAAUAGGGUGAAGCCAGAGGAAACUCUGGUGGAGGCUCGUAGCGAUUCCUGCCGUGCUA
Molecule: ribosomal RNA, 781 nt
Filed under: Agaricus bisporus (cultivated mushroom)
Lineage: Eukaryota; Fungi; Basidiomycota; Agaricomycetes; Agaricales; Agaricaceae
Description: eukaryotic LSU rRNA
Rfam family: Eukaryotic large subunit ribosomal RNA
Source: RNAcentral